AAUUUUGGACAAUGGGGGGAACCCUGAUCCAGCCAUCCCGCGUGUAUGAAGAAGGCCUGCGGGUUGUAAAGCCCUUUCGGUGGGGAAGAACAGCCUCGACCUAAUACGUCGGGGUCUUGACGUAACCCACAGAAGAAGCACCGGCUAACUAUAUGCCAGCAGCCGCGGUAAUACAGAGGGUGCGAGCGUUAAUCGGAAUUACUGGGCGUAAAGCGCGCGUAGGCGGCUUUGCAAGUCGGGUGUGAAAUCCCCAGGCUUAACCUGGGAACUGCAUUCGAGACUGCAUUGCUAGAGUAUGGGAGAGGGAAGUGGAAUUUCCGGUGUAGCGGUGAAAUGCGUAGAUAUCGGAAGGAACAUCAGUGGCGAAAGCGACUUCCUGGACCAAUACUGACGCUCAUGUGCGAAAGCGUGGGGAGCAAACAGG
This 424-nucleotide ribosomal RNA is filed under the name uncultured bacterium. RNAcentral's name for it is "partial 16S ribosomal RNA". It matches the Rfam family "Bacterial small subunit ribosomal RNA", at positions 360 to 776 of the family's 1533-position model. The record is from RNAcentral.